Molecule: long non-coding RNA, 692 nt
Filed under: Mus pahari (shrew mouse)
Lineage: Eukaryota; Metazoa; Chordata; Mammalia; Rodentia; Muridae
Description: lncRNA (MGP_PahariEiJ_G0005900.1)
Source: RNAcentral
AGACCAUAGACAACUCUCACUCAGUCAAUGUGGAAGACCGAAUGAGCCAUCGUCCACACGCAUCAUGUGGUUGUGAGGAGACUGGAGGGCAGGUAUCUCUCAUGCUGCUGCCGAGAGUGUAAAAUGCCAUGGUUACCCUAGAAAACAGCUAAGACAGUUUCUUAUAAAACUAAAACUUUACCACAGGGCCCAGCUGGCAUACUUCUGGAUGUUCACCUAGAAACUUGCAUACAAUCACCCGCUGCAGCUAAAGGCAAGUUCACUGGCCCCAGAGGCAGAAGCAAGAUGAUGGAGAAAAUGUCAUGUUAUAGAAAGCACGAGAAUAACGUGCAGUGUGUUCCUUUUGUGGCUCAAGAAGAAGUGUAAAUGGUGUGUCAAAGCUAAGAAGCGGGACACUGGGACAAAUGAGGCAUCAUGGAUUCUGUGAAGGCACCACAGCUGAUCCCAAGAGGACAGCUGCCGCAGCAUGCAGUUAAUCUUGAAGAUUUCAGUGAUCAACCAUAAAAUGCACGCUCUGGUCACAAACUGAAAGAAAAAGAGGGUCUGUCAACAGGCUAAUGCUUAAGCUGUGGCAUACCCAAACUAUGGACACGCCUCAGCAAUAGAGGGGAUAAGCUAUAUUAAACCGUCACAAGACUUGGACAGGCAUCAAAGGACUUACACUGGGGGGGGGGGGAGAAAAUCUCAAAGGU